This is a long non-coding RNA of Falco peregrinus (peregrine falcon), 6878 nucleotides long. RefSeq lists it as uncharacterized. Lineage: Eukaryota; Metazoa; Chordata; Aves; Falconiformes; Falconidae. The transcript is spliced from 2 exons. The record is from RefSeq and is a predicted model, not a curated record.
AAUAACCUUGCAUAACAGAGAGAGUUUGGUGGAAAAUGUACAUAUCUUCCCAGCUCAGGCACCAGAAACCCAUGAGAAGGACCCUGAAGACGAACUACACCUUAAGCAAAAAAAACAGUGCUUCCUGUUAAAAGUCAAGACACAAAAAAACUUGACGUACACCUUGUCUCAGGAAAGGUUUGACAGAACAUGGCUCCGUAGUGUUCAGCAGCUCAAAACAACUGGGCCAUUUGGUGCUGUGGAUGGGCAGGCUACGGUGGGUCCCAUUGUCACCGCACUCUCUUGCAUAGUAGAGGCCACCUUGCACCACCGCCCUUGUUGACAGAAUAAAAGGGAGUGGCAUAUCCCUGUUUUUCAAAACAGAUGAUCUCAACUCCUGGCACCGAGCAUUUGACGUGUUUCUCACUGCCCUGCAUUGAAGCAGCUCACCCCUGUGGCUGUGCUGCAGGGACUGCAGACCCUGCACCUCCACGUUACCUCAGCGAGAUGCCCAUCUGCUACCGCUACUGCAAUUAUGUAGAAAAUUCAGGAUUGUUCAGCAGCUGGUCCAAGGUGUGUCCCUGACAGACAGAAAUACCUGGUAACCAUCUGUAUGAAGUCUCACAUACCGUGUUAAAUCAGUCCAGGGAGCAACGUGCCCCAGAAGAGCUACAGAAACCCAAUGCUCAGCACGCCAAAUUUGUGCGCGAGCUUUGCCAUUCCUUGCAAACAGUCCCAUUGGAGGUAGGGUUUGACAGGAAGACAGUCUGUGGUUCAAUUGACAGGCUGAAGGUGUGUGAGAGCCAGUUGUGCCUUCCAGAAAUUUAGCAUAAAAUCCAGAGAACAAUGAAUUUGUUGUCUCUAUUGAUUUUUGAAACAAUGUAGCACCUAAGCUGUGUGUUGGCAUGUUUUCAGAAUGGUUUCAGCCUUUGUAUAGUCCCCUUAUCGGUUGCAAUUGCAUGGCAAAAUUAACCGCUUUAGUCUCAGGCUAAGAAUGCUACUUUUGUAUUAUGUUGAUUACAUUAUCUUACAUGCUGAUAAUAAUCAUACAUGGUCUUGCUUUUUUUAUACUGGUGUUUUCCAGUAAAUGCACUCGUGUCAUUUAAAAAAAUCAAUAGCUGUAUUAUCUUCAGAUUGCCUCAUGUAUUGCAGCACUGUAAGAAACCAGGUGUUGGAAAUACAAUGUUAAGCCACCCAAAGCCACCGCAGUUAAUCAGAUUUAACACCUAACUGAACUAGGCUCAACCAGAGCUUUUGGUAGGAGUGGGAAUAAACAAUCCUGCUUAAGUAACUCUGUUGUAUUAUGUGAGAGCCCAUUAAUAGCUGCAGUUUCUAUUAAAGCUGGAUGUAAUUCUAGAAGCCAAAGGCCCUGUUCUUGUUUAAGCAUGUUUUGUACCUCGCAUUUCUCUGGUACAGCAGGUCUUGGAAGGGCCUACCACUUAUUUUUCUAUGACCUGCAGACAGACUAUUGAUCAUAAAUGUAUUUGCUUUUAAUUAAUAUAGCAUCAGGAAAAGCAUAUGAGAGGAGACUGCAGAGAGUACGCUCUGCUGGUUGACCUCCACAGUGAUGCCAUAGCACUGAGUCACUCUUUAUUUAUUCUCUUGAACCUGUAAUGAAAAGGUGCAUACUCUACCACAAUUAAAGGGUUAACCUUUGUCAUAGUUAGCCAGAUUUCCACGACCAAACCGAUGCAAAAACUUAGCUUUUGUGUUGCCUGAAUAACAGAAUUCCCCCAAACAACUCACACUUGAAAUGGAACAAAACCCCCACCUCCGAAGCACAAGCAGAGAGCAGGCAUUGGUGUGGAGGGCCGGGGGUUCCUUGAGAUGGGGUGGGAUUAGAGACAGACUCCCAGGGAGUCAAGGUGAGUACAGCAAGAAGAGGGGACAGGAGCUCAAGGAUGUCCUACCGCAUUUUACUUUAAAAGGUAUGCUUUUUCCUUUGUGGCAGUGCUUGAACUUGACUUUUUUCUCUUAAAAGGAACAGCCUUUUCUUUUUUUUUGUGGCUUAGCGUAACAAAAGAACGAGCUUUUGAAUGGUAGCUUGCUUUUCUUUGGCUUUCAGACAAGGGGAACGUUCCAAUAUCUCAGAAUAUAUAUUUUACCCAUAGAAAAAUGGGCUUUUUUAUCCUCCUGUAUCCUUUUUGAUCCCUCUGCAUAAUUGUCUUAGGUUUCCAUGCUUUUAUCUUCACUCCAUGAAGAUAUGCCCUUGGAUCUUCCCAGUACAUAUGGUUGGGAACCUGCAACUUUGUGUACCAGGGCCGUUGUCACUGCUGGGGACAUUGUAGUGGUCAUAACCACUGCUUCCUGUACUGACUACACUGUUCCAGUGCUCAUACUUUUAAGAUCCCUGAUAUCAGUUCCCCCCUUCAUAGGACUCAUAGGCAACCCCCAGCAAUUUUGCACCCCUACAGUCAUGCCUUUUCCCAGAGCAAGCUGUCUGGAAGGAGACAGACCUUCCUGCAGAGAAGUUUGUCUCAGGAAUUUCCAAAUUCCUUCUCCUUCCUGUUACCCAGCAAAUCUAACAGUCUCUCCUUUGACAGAGGCUCCUAGAAAAACACAGUCUCCGUAACUGCUGAAGGACUGAUGCAGAUUAAGGGGAAAAAACAUGGGUUAAUACAUUUCCAGAACCUCUUUAUUCCAUAGACAAUGCUGACCAGGAGCAUACACAGUGGAGGGUGAAAUAUCCUGGGGAGAUCACAGAAAAAAUCCUGUUGCAUAAAAACAAUAUGCUUCAAGAAAAACAGAAAGGCAGAUAGGUGCAUCUGUUAUCAAUCAGCUCUUCAGACAACAAGUUUAGGAGUCGUGGAGCAAAAGAAACAAGCCUUCCCUAGGGCUGAAAUUCCUCCUUGGAAUUUCUCAAAUGUCCAUGGCUGCAGAGCUGUAGUUCCCAGUCUGCCCCGUGCCUCCUUACCAGCCUGACCACCCAGCCGGGGAAACAAGCAAAAUGUUGACUACCUGUCCAGAGACCAUACCGGCUAGCUGGGAAAAGACACGGUUGCCUUACCAGUACAUUAAGAGCUUUAGGCCAUUAAUUAACAAUCCAACAAAGUGCUGAUCAAUUCCUGAUCACAUACGUACUAAAUCACGGAUUUUUUAUUUGUUUGCUUUCAGUAAGGAUAUUUAAAUUACAAAAUUAACUUCCUGUGAAGUUGUCUAUAGUACCAAUUCAGCUUUCUCCCUGAGUGGAAACUGCAGAGUACAUUACACUGAGUGCUCAUAUACUAAUGUUAAAAGCAGUUUGUUUUGUAAUGACAAUGCUGACUGAAUAGCAAAAGUUUCUGUAAAAACACUGGUAUUUAAAGCUUGAACUCAUGUCCUUGUAUAACUCCCUUGUCCUUAGGGCCCUCAGUUCUGGCUCCCAGCUCCCUCCUCAUUCCUAGCUGUCCCAGGUAUCCAUGCACCUCGUCUUUAACUCCAGGCAGCCGGAUCUGCGUUGCCCUUUAUUUGCCCUUCCUGACUUAUUGCAGGCAACGCGGUUCCUGCCACUUGCCGCUCCAGCACUGGGCUCCCUGGCAGUUCUUGCAAGGAGAGUGGGGCCUGAAGCAAUGAACUCCUGGGGGCAGGGAGAGAGGGGGAGGCAACCUCAAGGAGCAUGUUCUGGCUGUAUCGAGAGUGCAUCCACAUUAGUAUGUUGGUUUGGAUGAUCUUUUGUUCUGCAGGUCCUUUCCUAGAGGAGUGGGUUGUCAUCAUGUGUGUGGCAGCAAGAGGCAGACCCCCCAGAAGAACCCUGCUUCGAAGCUUGAUUAUAAAUCAGUCACAAUCAGGUGUCUCUGCAGAAGUGACCAUUAUACAGAGGAAACAGCCUGGCUUUCUUCAGUCAUGUCAAUAAGGAAUGAACAUGCCCUACCUCCAAGACAGACUAAAUGAAAAUAAAAUGAGUAUCACUCCAAACUGAACAUUGGCUAUACCUAUGCACUCUUGGGAGAAACAUGGCUUUCAGUGUUUCAGUGUUGUGUCCAUGAGAAUCCUUUUAGCUUUGAUCAUAAGCUUUGUAUAUAGGGUCAUAAAAAAAGGGGUGCAUCUUUGUUAACCAUGUAAAUAAAACUCCUCUGUGAGGUUGACAUCCUACCCUUCCCAGGUAGGUUCCUUCAAAUUUUUUUUUUUAUACUGUCUAGUUUGGGUAUUUGAAAAGAUGGAGCUUUUGCUUUUCCUUAAAGUAUAAGAAAACUUUGCAUUUUUUUCUGAAGCAAAUAAUGUGUUUUGCCUACUGCACCUUUCUUGGUUUAGUCGCUUAUCAGAAGAUAAUGGGGAGAUGUGAACUCUCAACGAUCUACAUGAAGGAAAUGAGACACAGAAACUUUAAUAAAGACCUCUUCUGUGUUCACUCAAUAUUUAACUACAGAUACAGCCGAUGCCAUAGGGCAGAAUAAGGGAAGUUUAAGUGAGUCUUUUCAUUUUCAGGAACACAACUGCAAAAGAUCUCAAGCAGCAGUUUCUGUGUACUUUUUAAUUAUCCAAAUGCAGGGAUUGACAGAAGUUUUUAGAACACUGGAAAAAAAAACAAUAAGAAACAAGCAAGAUUACCCAAUUGUCUUUCUUCAGCCCCCCUUUGAAGGUCACCUGUAACUAGUUUAGAAUAUGAUUGAAUAAUACCAUAUGUUUAGUAAAUUAGGUACAAACAGUAAAGGUAACUACAACUGAGCUAAAAGCAUUUAAAAGUAAUCUUCACAGAUAAAACGAAAACAUUUAUGUUGUAAUCCUUACAUUGUGAAUUACAUUCAUUACUGUAUUCAGUGAGCUACUGUAUUCAGAGGGCUACAACAGUUAUAACACAAUUUCACUGGGUCAAAAUUGAUUUGGGGAAAGAUGGUAAGAGCUUCUACUCCAAAAGUAAGCAGUAUUCUCAAUUUCAAAAAGACAAGCUUUGAUAAACAAAGGAACUGAGGAUAAUACAAUUAUUUUAAGUGAAGAGGAUAAAACUAGGUGAACUUUGUGUCUCAAGAAAGCAGAAAAAGUUCUACUGAAGAGAGCUAGUUGAAUAAAUAACCACAAGCAAAAAGCAAAACAUUUACAAAAUGGCAAAGAGGAUUAAGCACAAAGGAAAUUUUAUCUGAGGGAUCAAGAAAAGGAAGGACAAAGUGAGAAUUGCCAAAAAUCAAGCUGAGUUAGACUUCCAGAAAGAUAUGAAAAGCAAACAAUAAAAAAGAUUCUUCAUCCCCAUAAACAAAAGACAAUAAAGAAAGGACUGUAGUGUUAUGGAAUAUGAAAUAGAGAGAGAUGGAAGAUAAUCUUGGCAAAAGAUAAAUUGCACUUUGCUAUUGAUUUGAAAUGAAUACUUUUCCUCAGUUUUUAACGACUACAAUGAUUGAUCAUGGGAGCAAAGGCAAUUUAGAUAAUGGCAGGAGUGUAUGGAAAAGCAUCGUUCAGAACAAAGUUAGAGCAGAACUCUUCUCUACCCUGUUCCUGAAAAGAACUGUGAGCUCAUGGGUCCACUGCCAGGUGGAUGAAGAGGAGCAAAUUUCACACCUAUCACUGAAAAAAAAGGUGGUUAAUUCCAGCAGUGGUGGUUUUAUAGCCCAUCACCAUGACAUCCAGGUAUGUAGAACACACAUAAACAAGUAGUAAUUACAAUUUAGGCCAAAACUGAAAUUCACAGCCUUUUUAUGUCAUUCACCUUUUCCAAAUGUAACUGAGUGACAUUUCUAUUUGCCAAGUGUUUCCUGCUGGGUAUGUAAGCUAAACUUUAAGAAGCUUCAGUGAUUUCAUGUUUUUAAUAAGACAUAAUAAGCACUGUCCAAGUAUUAAAUGUAUGCUACUUCUACUAUUAUGAUUUAACAUACACAGAAUUCUACAAGACUUACUUAAUUGUCAAAAUGUCCUUUUUUUUUCUUUUUUUUUUGUAAGCAGUUGUCAUUUUUCAAGAGAUUAACUGCAUGGCAGUACUAUACUUACAACUAUCAGUCAAAUCUGAACUGACUGCAGAGGAAACCAUAAUGGCCUCCUGAAAAUGAUUUCACAUGAGGACAGUUCUUUGUUUUUACUUUCCUCAUGCAAUUUAGAAGGGCAUUUGCUCAUUGUAGACAAGAAAUUCAUUUAUUCAGUAGGAACUAAUCAUGAGGUGUUUGCAAUCAGUUUUCUCAGCUAAAAAUAGCUCAAGUUACUAAAAGAUCAUUGCUGCUUGUUACUACAAUGACACAAUUUAGAAUUUCUAUCAUGUAUAAUAGCCCAGAUUUGCUGAGAAAUUCUGUUCCAUGAGUUUUGACUCACUGAACUGUGAAGUUGGCUGUGGUUGCUGUCCUCUCUGUAAGCAGAAAUCUGAGAAGUGGGGCAAGCAAAUCAGAAUGGGAAUGGAGGAGCAGAGCCAGCUUGGCAAUAUUAGAGAUGAGUGCUUUUGUUUUUAAAGGAAGGGAAAAAAUGCCUUGAAAGUUGUGCAUUCUCUGUGCCUACACUGGCUCUGUAGCAACUUGCUUUUCUGUUCUUGUAAUAACCAUCAAAACAAGACAGCAAAAGUGCUCUUCCUCACAGCACACUAGUUUUUGCUUCUCACAGUCACAUACCAGGUUUGCAUAGAAUUAGCCUAACAUAACCUUUACAUAAAUAUUAGCAAUGAAUGUUCUCCUCCACAAAAAGCAAGCACAAUUCUUUGCUGCCCAUUGGGUGGAGGGCUGGUAAGGGCAGCUUUAUCCCAUAUUUGAGUCUUCAUUUGUGUUGGCAAUGCCUCUCAUGUAAGUUGGCAGCCCUAAAUUACUUUGCUGCCACAGCCCCCUAUGGAUCAUUGCAGCAGCUCGAAAUAGCUGUUCAAAGUGAGGAAACCUCUACACAAGGAAUUUUCCCUAGGGAGACAUUUCAAGAACUCUACAGCCCCUUUGUGCUACUGGGAAAGUGUAAAGAGACUGUGUAAGAAUACAGAAUUCAUCAUUGUCCUUUCCAUACAAUAAAACAUUCAUACUUCCUCA